This 73-nucleotide transfer RNA is filed under the name Camelus bactrianus (Bactrian camel). It matches the Rfam family "tRNA". From Rfam's summary of the family: Transfer RNA (tRNA) molecules are approximately 80 nucleotides in length. Their secondary structure includes four short double-helical elements and three loops (D, anti-codon, and T loops). Lineage: Eukaryota; Metazoa; Chordata; Mammalia; Artiodactyla; Camelidae. The record is from Rfam by way of RNAcentral. RNAcentral also lists the same sequence under 2 other names.
GAGGGUGUAGCUCAGUGGUAGAGUGUGUGCUUACCGUGCACGAGGCUCUGGGUUCCAAUCCCCAGCACCUCCA